Long non-coding RNA from Alligator mississippiensis (American alligator), 561 nucleotides. RefSeq lists it as uncharacterized. The transcript has 2 exons. The record is from RefSeq and is a predicted model, not a curated record. Lineage: Eukaryota; Metazoa; Chordata; Crocodylia; Alligatoridae.
GUGGGGGUACCCCGUGCGCGGGGCCUGUGGGGCUCUUUUUUGCGGUAGGUGUUACAGCGCGAAGCUCUGGUGUGUCCCGGUGCCCCUUUCCUUCGCAGGCUCCCUGGGCAGCCUCCCUGGCUCCUCGGCGUGAUGGGCGGUGGUGCAGGGGGUGCAAGACGGGCCGUUUGCUUCUCGGCCGGCUCUGAAUCCUCUCCAGCGAGCGCCUCGCAAAGCACCAGAUUUCCCUUCUUUAACGAGAAAGAAAUGCACACGUGUUGCGGUUCCGGAAGCAGCGCCGGACAUCGCUUCAGUUCUAGGGGGAGUUUGGGACCCUCGGUGUAAAUAGUGUGAAGCUGAGAGCGGGGAGCUGAAGGGACGGUGUUAUUCAGUGCGUGCGUACUCCGGAAACCUUACAUUGUGCAGAGAUGUAUCCAGUACGGCGGGGAGCUGGGGCCGGGGCCGCUGCCGAGCCGGGACCCGCCGGAGCCGGAGCUGGGACCCGCUGCUGCCCGCCCCUUGCCCCAGUAAAGCUCCCCCGUGUCCGUGUGGCUCGUUUCAAUAAAGGUGUUUGACCCCGUG